Molecule: long non-coding RNA, 351 nt
Filed under: Brassica napus (rape)
Lineage: Eukaryota; Viridiplantae; Streptophyta; Magnoliopsida; Brassicales; Brassicaceae
Description: long non-coding RNA (BNAP_LNC021210)
Source: RNAcentral
CUAUCCUCCUGGCCAAAGAAACAACAAGUCUUCUGGUCCUUCGACUGGAUAUCCUCCAUCAUUUGGCUUUGCACCAAGAGGACAAAACAACUAUCAACAACCGAGACCGUACAGGCUCAGAAUAACUUCGUACCUCAGCAAUAAUAAUACAACAAUCCUAAUGUUGCUGUGAAUGUUCUCACUGAGCAAACAAUAUAAGCUUCGGGUCAAAUGGAUAGAGGACAGCUACAAUCUCUUAUUCAUCAGCUACAGGUUUUCAUGACACCAAUUGUGAAUGUUGUGACUACUCAAUAAUCUACGGUCAGUGAAAAUGGAUACAUGGCUGCUCAAUCUUCAGCUGGUAAUGUCUCU